RNAcentral lists this ribosomal RNA (245 nucleotides) under uncultured bacterium. Its description in RNAcentral is "partial 16S ribosomal RNA". It matches the Rfam family "Bacterial small subunit ribosomal RNA", at positions 111 to 353 of the family's 1533-position model. The record is from RNAcentral.
UAACACGUGGGUAACCUGCCUUAUAGUGGGGGAUAGCCUUUCGAAAGGAAGAUUAAUACCGCAUAAGAUUGUAGUAUCGCAUGAUAUAGCAAUUAAAGGAGCAAUCCGCUAUAAGAUGGACCCGCGUCGCAUUAGCUAGUUGGUGAGGUAAUGGCUCACCAAGGCGACGAUGCGUAGCCGACCUGAGAGGGUGAUCGGCACAUUGGGACUGAGACACGGCCCAGACUCCUACGGGAGGCAGCAUG